GGAGUUAGAAAGCUCGCGGGCGUUGUGGCAGCGGGCCAACGCCGGCGAGCAGCUGCUCCCACUGUGACAAGAGAGCAUGAGGGCUGUGGGAGCACCAGUGGUUACACACCGGACAGAGGCCCUUUGUGUGCGCUGAGUGUGGCAAGGGCUUCACCCGCAUGUCCAGCCUGUGGCAGCACCGGCGUACCCACAGCGGUGAGCGUCCCUUCCCCUGACCGUCCUGUGGUAAG
Amblyraja radiata (thorny skate) is the source of this 230-nucleotide long non-coding RNA. RefSeq lists it as uncharacterized. The transcript has 3 exons. The record is from RefSeq and is a predicted model, not a curated record. NCBI's taxonomy places the organism in Eukaryota, Metazoa, Chordata, Chondrichthyes, Rajiformes, Rajidae.